GGACGGGUAGCUCAGUCUGGUUGGAGCAAUGGUCUUAUAAGCCAUAGGUCGCGGGUUCAAAUCCCGCUCUGUCCA
This 75-nucleotide transfer RNA is filed under the name Microcaldota archaeon. RNAcentral describes it as "tRNA-Ile". It matches the Rfam family "tRNA". Rfam says of the family: Transfer RNA (tRNA) molecules are approximately 80 nucleotides in length. Their secondary structure includes four short double-helical elements and three loops (D, anti-codon, and T loops). Lineage: Archaea; Nanobdellati; Microcaldota. The record is from RNAcentral.